Molecule: non-coding RNA, 72 nt
Organism: Podarcis lilfordi (Lilford's wall lizard)
Lineage: Eukaryota; Metazoa; Chordata; Lepidosauria; Squamata; Lacertidae
Source: the annotation of a GenBank genome assembly
GCUAGUGUGGUACAGUGGUUAGAGUGUCAGGGUAGGACCUGGGAGGCCAGGGUUCAAAUCCCUGGUCAACCA